GGAGAGAUGGCCGAGUGGUUUAAGGCGAUAGUCUUGAAAACUAUUAUAGGAUAAAAUUAAUUCUAUCUAGGGUUCGAAUCCCUAUCUCUCCG
This 92-nucleotide transfer RNA is filed under the name Endomicrobium sp. RNAcentral's name for it is "tRNA-Ser". It matches the Rfam family "tRNA". From Rfam's summary of the family: Transfer RNA (tRNA) molecules are approximately 80 nucleotides in length. Their secondary structure includes four short double-helical elements and three loops (D, anti-codon, and T loops). The record is from RNAcentral. Lineage: Bacteria; Pseudomonadati; Elusimicrobiota; Endomicrobiia; Endomicrobiales; Endomicrobiaceae.